CGCAUCUGUGCAUGCAGCAUAUCAAUAAGCGGAGGAAAAGAAACUAACAAGGAUUCCCUUAGUAACGGCGAGUGAAGCGGGAAGAGCUCAAAUUUGAAAUCUUCAAGGUUUUACCUUGACGAAUUGUAGUUUAAAGAAGUGUUUUCUGUUGAAGUUUUGGUAAAAGUUCUUUGGAAUAGGACAUCAUAGAGGGUGAGAAUCCCGUAUUUGACCAUUAUUUACAGCUGUGUGAUACACUUUCAAAGAGUCGGAUUGUUUGGGAAUGCAGUCCAAAAUGGGUGGUAAAUUUCAUCUAAAGCUAAAUAUUGGCGAGAGACCGAUAGCGAACAAGUACCGUGAGGGAAAGAUGAAAAGAACUUUGAAAAGAGAGUUAAACAGUACGUGAAAUUGUCAAAAGGGAAGCGUUUGACACCAGUGUUGUUUUCUCGAAAAUCAAUUAAAAAGAGUUUGAUUUUGUUGUGUAUUGACCUUAACAGCUUGCAUUUCAAUUUUCUUGCUUUUUUUAAUGCACUUUUCGUUUAACAAGUCAUCAUCAGUUUCUUUUGUUGUAAAAAGGUCAUUGGAAGGUGGCUUUCUUUUCGGAGAAAGUGUUUAUAGCCUUUGACUCCUGCAAUCGGAGAGACUGAGGUCUGCAGCGUAGAUCCUUCGGGGUUAGAUACAUUUGUGCUAAGUUAUAGCUUUUUAUAGACAACUUGUUGACUAUGAUUAGUCUUGUAGCUUACUCGCUUAUGCUAUUUUACCUACGCUUAGGAUGUUGACGCGCGUGUGUGCGUG
This 774-nucleotide ribosomal RNA is filed under the name uncultured Neocallimastigales. Its description in RNAcentral is "partial large subunit ribosomal RNA". It matches the Rfam family "Eukaryotic large subunit ribosomal RNA", at positions 26 to 639 of the family's 3401-position model. The record is from RNAcentral. Lineage: Eukaryota; Fungi; Neocallimastigomycota; Neocallimastigomycetes; Neocallimastigales.